RNAcentral lists this long non-coding RNA (569 nucleotides) under Cotesia glomerata. RNAcentral's name for it is "uncharacterized LOC123262065, transcript variant X1". Lineage: Eukaryota; Metazoa; Arthropoda; Insecta; Hymenoptera; Braconidae. The record is from RNAcentral.
UUAUUUAAUACUACGCAUAUAUACGUCUUACAUAUAAAUAUAUAUAACUUACACACUCACAGCGCCUGGUCUCGCACUCUGCGUAAUAAUCACAACAAGCCGAUUCUUUCUGCGAGUCUUGUCUCGACUUGUCGAGAAAUUCUACGAGUAUGUGUAUACGUGUACAUGAACGUGACGUCAUCAAUGUAUGAAUUUCCGUGGAACUUUUUAGGUAGAUUUUUAUAGAAAUCUAACUAUUGUAGCCGGUCUCAUGUUGUCAUUUUAGGAAAAUUUUAUCAUAAUAUGUUUGGCAUUGGCUCAAAAGUUUAUAUAUGUAUUUAUGUAUGCAUAUAACGCGCGAUGUCAGCAGGAUUGCGUCCAUAGUUCUCAACCGAUCUUUAUGAAAUUUUGUGGGCUUAUUCUGUGGAUCAAUACCAAGAUCAAGUUCGAAGAUGAGCAAAAUCGGCUGGUUAGUUUACGAGUUGUGGGAGUUUGAAAAUUUUUUUCAUUUUCAAAAAAUUUUGAAUUUUGUAUUUUUUAUGAAAAUAAUCUUCUAGAUGUAAAAGAUAGAUAAAGUCUAUCAAAUUUAU